UUACUACUUGUUGUUCAUUGAAUCGCUAGAUAAAAAAUUGAAAUAAUUGACAACCUUUCUAUAAUCGAACAAAAAAACUGAGACAAAUAUAGAUGAAUAUUAAAAAAAAACAAAAAUCCAAAAAUUCAACUUGUGGCAUCGUUCCCUUUUCAAAAAGGUAUCAUACAUCCCAAUCGGAGUUCGGACACCAAAUCUGUAAAUUCAUACUAAGUCCUUUUUCC
This 221-nucleotide long non-coding RNA is filed under the name Prunus persica (peach). RNAcentral's name for it is "long non-coding RNA (PPER_LNC001691)". The record is from RNAcentral. Lineage: Eukaryota; Viridiplantae; Streptophyta; Magnoliopsida; Rosales; Rosaceae.